This is a non-coding RNA of Paramuricea clavata, 112 nucleotides long. Lineage: Eukaryota; Metazoa; Cnidaria; Anthozoa; Malacalcyonacea; Plexauridae. The record is from the annotation of a GenBank genome assembly.
GACGAAUUUCCAAUCUCAUUGGCUGUCAUUUUUACGGUUUUAAUCUCAUUGGCUGUCACUUUUACAGUUUUAAAAACCGUAAAAAUGACAGCCAAAGAGAUUGGAAAUUCGU